GAUGAACGCUGGCGGCGUGCCUAAUACAUGCAAGUCGAGCGAACAGACGAGGAGCUUGCUCCUCUGACGUUAGCGGCGGACGGGUGAGUAACACGUGGAUAACCUACCUAUAAGACUGGGAUAACUUCGGGAAACCGGAGCUAAUACCGGAUAAUAUAUUGAACCGCAUGGUUCAAUAGUUAAAGACGGUUUUGCUGUCACUUAUAGAUGGAUCCGCGCCGCAUUAGCUAGUUGGUAAGGUAACGGCUUACCAAGGCAACGAUGCGUAGCCGACCUGAGAGGGUGAUCGGCCACAAUGGAACUGAGAAACGGUCCAGAAUCCUAAGGGAGGCAGCAGUAGGGAAUCUUCCGAAAUGGGCGAAAGCCUGAAGGAGCAAAGACGCGUGAGUGAUGAAGGUCUUCGGAUCGUAAAACUCUGUUAUUAGGGAAGAACAAAUGUGUAAGUAACUAUGCACGUCUUGACGGUACCUAAUCAGAAAGCCACGGCUAACUACGUG
Molecule: ribosomal RNA, 497 nt
Filed under: uncultured bacterium
Lineage: Bacteria
Description: partial 16S ribosomal RNA
Rfam family: Bacterial small subunit ribosomal RNA
Source: RNAcentral